This 253-nucleotide ribosomal RNA is filed under the name Duodenibacillus massiliensis. Its description in RNAcentral is "partial 16S ribosomal RNA". It matches the Rfam family "Bacterial small subunit ribosomal RNA", at positions 524 to 776 of the family's 1533-position model. The record is from RNAcentral. Lineage: Bacteria; Pseudomonadati; Pseudomonadota; Betaproteobacteria; Burkholderiales; Sutterellaceae.
UACGUAGGGUGCGAGCGUUAAUCGGAAUUACUGGGCGUAAAGCGUGCGCAGGCGGUUGGGUAAGACAGAUGUGAAAUACCCGGGCUUAACCUGGGAACUGCAUUUGUGACUGUCCGACUGGAGUAUGUCAGAGGGGGGUGGAAUUCCAAGUGUAGCAGUGAAAUGCGUAGAUAUUUGGAAGAACACCGAUGGCGAAGGCAGCCCCCUGGGGCAAAACUGACGCUCAUGCACGAAAGCGUGGGGAGCAAACAGG